This is a long non-coding RNA of Oncorhynchus gorbuscha (pink salmon), 437 nucleotides long. RefSeq lists it as uncharacterized. The record is from RefSeq and is a predicted model, not a curated record. NCBI's taxonomy places the organism in Eukaryota, Metazoa, Chordata, Actinopteri, Salmoniformes, Salmonidae. The transcript has 3 exons.
CUCUACUCUCUCCUUCUAUCUCUCCCCUCCCUCUCUCCUUCAGUCCCUGCAUGCUGCUCGUUGAGGUCAGUGUGUACGACUGGGACUCUGAGACCCAGGGCUAGAUCCUGGGCUCCUUCUUCUACGGCUACAUCCUGACUCAGAUCCCAGGGGGCUACCUGGCAAGCAAGUAUGGGGCCAAAUGGCUGCUGGGCCUAGGAAUCCUGGGAACUGUAAUCUUCACCCUCCUCACCCCCAUGGCUGCCGACCUGGGUGCAGGUUACCUCAUCGUUGUCAGAGUGCUGGAGGGCAUCGGAGAGGGAGUAACGUUUCCCGCCAUGCAGCCCCCCCCCAAAAAAAUAAAUAAAUGAAAUAAUAAUUUAGGAUUUUUGGGGUGGGACCGCUAACUUCCAACAAUUCUCCAAAUGUUACCAUGGGUCAAAGAGAAAAAUGUUCUG